RNAcentral lists this ribosomal RNA (253 nucleotides) under uncultured bacterium. Its description in RNAcentral is "partial 16S ribosomal RNA". It matches the Rfam family "Bacterial small subunit ribosomal RNA", at positions 524 to 776 of the family's 1533-position model. The record is from RNAcentral.
UACGGAGGGAGCUAGCGUUAUUCGGAAUUACUGGGCGUAAAGCGCACGUAGGCGGCUUUGUAAGUAAGAGGUGAAAGCCCAGAGCUCAACUCUGGAAUUGCCUUUUAGACUGCAUCGCUUGAAUCAUGGAGAGGUCAGUGGAAUUCCGGGUGUAGAGGUGAAAUUCGUAGAUAUUCGGAAGAACACCAGUGGCGAAGGCGGCUGACUGGACAUGUAUUGACGCUGAGGUGCGAAAGCUAGGGUAGCAAACGGG